This is a long non-coding RNA of Lolium perenne, 3065 nucleotides long. RefSeq lists it as uncharacterized. NCBI's taxonomy places the organism in Eukaryota, Viridiplantae, Streptophyta, Magnoliopsida, Poales, Poaceae. The record is from RefSeq and is a predicted model, not a curated record.
ACGUACAUGUAUACGUACGGGACCAGGACACCUCGUUCCCCUCAUGCCCUCAAGUCUGUCGAAUUACCCGAACAUGACCCCCUCUCGAUUCCCCUCUCGCCUGCGACCUCACAUGGCGAUGCGCCCGUCGCCGCCUUGAUUCUGACCACAUCCGCCGCCGAUUCUUGCCGGCGAGGCUCCGCCUCGAUCUCCUUCAUCGAAUCCCUGCCGCCUCGACGCUCACUCGCAUCUGUGCUGUCAGGACACGCGCGCGCUUCCGCGACUAACUCUAUCCUGCAGCCUUCUCGCUCACGACGCCGAGAACCUUCGCGGUGGCCGGUCGAUUUGACCGCCGCCGGCCGCUCGUGUCCUCGCCGUCUGUCGGCGCGACUCCACCACGGAAUCCUCCGUCAGCACCAGCCGCUACGCCCCUGUUUCCCCUGCUCGCGCCCCAGACUAACCCUAGCCGCCUCCAGUUCCGGCUGUCGCCGACCGAUUCCGGCGCCGCCGCUGUUCGGCGAGGAUCUGCCGAACCUCAUCUGCCGGCCCCAUCCUCUGCAGCGCCUCCGGUACUCAAGCGCGCACGCCCGCGUACCUGCGCGUCGCUGACGACCGCGCCGCGGCACGGCGCUGCUUGUCGUCUCCGUCACCGCCGUCGGCCAGAAAGGCUUUGCCAUGAAUUUCUCCCUCGAUUGCCCGUCGCCACGAGGCUCGCACCCUCCGGCGCGUGCGGUCACAUGAGACCAUAGCCGGGGCUCUUCUCGGUGUUGCGGUGGUGUACUGGUGGUGUGCUGUUAGGGAUGGUGUUGUGGUGAAGGCGGUUGGUGGCGUGUUGGUGAUGGGGUGCUCGUGGUGCUGCUGAUGGUGCUACUGGUGGGGUAACCUCGACGCCGGCAGGACGGCGUCGCCGGCGCCAACCCGGCGUCGCCCACCCCGCUACUUCCUGUACAUCACUGUGAGCCAAUCCCUUUUCUCUAACUCACUCUAUAGUCAUGAAUCGAUGGUAUGUGCUUGGUCAUACUGCAGCAUAUACGUAGGUGAUUGACAUAUGUGGUGUGAUGCUUCAGUUUUGGAUGACUUGCUCCUCAGAGCAUCCCUUGUUGUGCUGCUGAACUAAACAGACUCUAUUCCAUUUGAUAGAUGACGAGUACUAACCUUAAUGCCUCCAUUUGGAUUUGUUGCCUUACUAUGCCACUAUUUCUGUUGAACUGAACUUGACAGCUCAGUUAUACACCUAGCUAGUUUAUUAUGGAGUUUAUAUGUAGGAUACUGUAAUUAUCACUUACACAUUGGUGCUUUAUUUGAUGGCUUGUUUGUAAACUUGUAUACAUAUUUAUAAUGCUCUGAUUAUUGGAUUGAGAUGGUUCCUUGAUCAUCUUAUGGUUUUCAUGGGUUGGAAUAAAUAUCGGCGGAUGCUGGUACUAAGUAGAUGCUUGGACAUUUUACUGGAUUAGUUUUACUUGUGAGCUUAUAUGUAUCUCUAGUGGCUUGGCUGUUAUGGAAUCUGUAGAUCCUGUGCAUACAUGGUUGGGCUUAUGUUUAUGUGUUAAUGGUGCAAGGUGAUUAUGUCCAGUUCUUUCUCAGAUGUAUUAGUUGGAUUAUUAAACUUAUAAGAACAGCUAUAAGCUUGAUUUUCUUGGCCCUGCCAAUGAUGCGAAAGGCUGAGGCUAGAUUUUUAGAUAAGAACAGAUACUACUAUGUUGCCUUUUCAUCUCUGUGAUGAUUUAGCAUAGCACCACUAUGCCCAUCUGAGAGAAAUCGAUCCUUCCGAUCCUCCUAGAUAAAAAUCUAGUUGAAGGGUUGAUAAAUGGAGUGUUGUGUAUUCUUCUCUUUAUUUCCCCCGAUACUAGUUGUGCAAGCGAGUAUGCUGAGAUGCUUAGAUUAAAUCAAUGGAUCAACCUGUUGUAGCAAAGUGGAAUAGCUGGUGAUGAUGAUCUGGAUGAGCUGUUACUUGUGGUUGUUGGCAUGUUCCUCUUCCCACUCCUUGAUCUACUCAAGUUGAUCUUGCUCCCCUUCUGGAAAUCCUCCUCUUCCUUGCUGUUAUCUUGACCAGAACUAUAUCUAUCUAAUCAUAAUGGUUGUGUAAUUUUUGGUGAGGAACUGUGGAUGAACUGAUGGUGUUCUUGGGUGGAUAUGGUGCGGUUUGUUGUGGAGAACUCUGUGAAGAGUUUCUAGCAGCUCAGCUGCGGCUGGUUUGCUUCUUUUAUCUACUUUUUGUUGUUGUUGCUGUGUUGACAGCACACCAGAUUGCAUGUGUGUGUGAGCUGCUUGUGUGUGCGUUCCCCUGCCUAGUGCAAGAGAACAAUAUUCCUUUCUCUUCCUCCUUGAGCAAGCAACGUCAGGUUGCUCUUAUCCCAUACUUGUCCUCUUAUUUCUCUGUUGCCAAGUGGAUAAUUAGCAUUGGAUGUUAUUAUGUUGGGAUUUGCAGUAUAACUUGUGGGCUUAACUUGUAUGGCUAAUGGUUCAUCUUGACUAUCUAAUGUCAAUGGUGAAUCACCGAUAAAAAAAAAUAUGUGGGCUUCUAAAAGGACACUAGCUAGAUUAGAGGGAAGAACAUUGUUGGUUUGCUGCCUAAAGUAAUGGAUCAUUUCAGUGUUGCUAUUUGCCUAAGUUGCCUUCUUAUUUGAUGCCUCAUGAUCCAAAAAUCCCAUUUGUCCCUAAUGUUGCCUAAAAAGAAUACUUCUCCCUCUGAUCGAAUUUUGGUUAUUAGGACAAGUUCCUAAUUUCCUAUGGCUAGUCUCCAACAUUUAACAUUGCCUCACCAAAGGUGAGGCAAACAUUUUAACAUUCACAAACCAUUUCUUCUGUCUUUGUUGUUUCUUUUGCAGGGAAAAGAAGAACAAGAAAUGUUAAGAAGAUUUAGAUUUAGGAAUUCUUUUAGUUCCAUUUUGUAAUCUCAUAAUUCUUUUGUAACUUGUAAUAUUUUAAUAAGUGUUAUAAUAAUACUUAUGUGAUUCCAUUUUGUAAUCUCAUAAUUCUUUUGUAACUUGUAAUAUUUUAAUAAGUGUUGUAAUAAUGCUUAUGUGAAUUGUUAUUUGUAAUAUUUUAUUCUCAUUUAUAUUUAUAUUUACUUUGUAUUUAUAUAA